GACGAACGCUGGCGGCGUGCUUAACACAUGCCAGUCGAACGGAAAGGCCCUGCUUUUGUGGGGUGCUCGAGUGGCGAACGGGUAAGUAACACGCGAGUAACCUGCCCUUGACUUUGGGAUAACUUCAGGAAACUGGGGCUAAUACCGGAUAGGAGCUCCUGCUGCAUGGUGGGGGUUGGAAAGUUUCGGCGGUUGGGGAUGGACUCGCGGCUUAUCAGCUUGUUGGUGGGGUAGUGGCUUACCAAGGCUUUGACGGGUAGCCGGCCUGAGAGGGUGACCGGCCACAUUGGGACUGAGAUACGGCCCAGACUCCUACGGGAGGCAGCAGUGGGGAAUAUUGCACAAUGGGCGGAAGCCUGAUGCAGCAACGCCGCGUGCGGGAUGACGGCCUUCGGGUUGUAAACCGCUUUCGCCUGUGACGAAGCGUGAGUGACGGUAAUGGGUAAAGAAGCACCGGCUAACUACGUG
This 468-nucleotide ribosomal RNA is filed under the name uncultured bacterium. RNAcentral describes it as "partial 16S ribosomal RNA". It matches the Rfam family "Bacterial small subunit ribosomal RNA", at positions 28 to 507 of the family's 1533-position model. The record is from RNAcentral.